Molecule: ribosomal RNA, 500 nt
Filed under: uncultured bacterium
Lineage: Bacteria
Description: partial 16S ribosomal RNA
Rfam family: Bacterial small subunit ribosomal RNA
Source: RNAcentral
AUUGAACGCUGGCGGCAGGCCUAACACAUGCAAGUCGAGCGGAUGACGGGAGCUUGCUCCUUGAUUCAGCGGCGGACGGGUGAGUAAUGCCUAGGAAUCUGCCUGGUAGUGGGGGACAACGUUUCGAAAGGAACGCUAAUACCGCAUACGUCCUACGGGAGAAAGCAGGGGACCUUCGGGCCUUGCGCUAUCAGGUGAGCCUCGGUCGGAUUAGCUAGUUGGUGGGGUAAUGGCUCACCAAGGCGACGAUCCGUAACUGGUCUGAGAGGAUGAUCAGUCACACUGGAACUGAGACACGGUCCAGACUCCUACGGGAGGCAGCAGUGGGGAAUAUUGGACAAUGGGCGAAAGCCUGAUCCAGCCAUGCCGCGUGUGUGAGGAAGGUCUUCGGACUGUAAAGCACUUUAAGUUGGGAGGAAGGGCAGUAAGUUAAUACCUUGCUGUUUUGACGUUACCGACAGAAUAAGCACCGGCUAACUCUGUGCCAGCCGCCGCCGUAA